GCCCGGUAGUCCAGUGGUUAGCACGUCGGCUUCACAGUGCAGAGGUACCGGGUUCGAUUCCAGCUCCGGCCUCCCUGUGUGGAGUUUGCAUGUUCUCCCCGGGCCUGCGUGGGUUUUCUCCGGGUGCUCCGGUUUCCUCCCACGUUCCAAAAACAUGCAUGGCAGGCUGAUUGAACACUCUAAAUUGUCCCUAGGUGUGAGUGUGAGCGUGGAUGGUUGUUCGUCUCUGUGUGCCCUGCGAUUGGCUGGCAACCGGUUCAGGGUGUCCCCCGCCUACUGCCCAAAGACAGCUGGGAUAGGCUCCAGCACCCCCCGCGACCCUAGUGAGGAUCAAGCGGUACGGAAGAUGAAUGAAUGACUGA
Molecule: long non-coding RNA, 362 nt
Organism: Hippocampus zosterae (dwarf seahorse)
Lineage: Eukaryota; Metazoa; Chordata; Actinopteri; Syngnathiformes; Syngnathidae
Exons: 3
Source: RefSeq, a predicted model, not a curated record